UUUCUUGUGGGCUUUGGACUGAGAGCUGGGCUCCUUGCUGACAGUGGCUGUUGGGCGUGGCUCGCUUCUGCCUGGCCUUUAGGUGUGGCAGCUUAUUUCAUGAGCAGAAGCAAAUGAACCAGAGAGAAGUCUCACAGUCUCAGGUAUUCCAGGAUGGCAGCACAAGGCUCGGACACUGGCAUAAAGACGAUACUUCGUCACCCCCUCAUCAGAAAUCCAGGCUAAUCAUCUGACUGAGAAUAAGCAGACUACUCUGAGGGAGGAAGAUAGCAACAGCAGCCUGCCUUUUGUUCUCUCUAAGGCCCCAUUUAAAACCAGAAGACAAUGAAGUAGUAAUUCCAAACUAGAAAAACAAGCGACAACAGGAAGGAGCUCUGGGGCCCAAGGAUUCUGUAGCCAAGGAAACUUCCUUAACACAAGCCAUCCGGUGCCAGUGCCUGGCAGUCAUGGAAACUUGGGGACCUUCACCCAUGACGCGAUCCCGAGGGACUCUCGAGCGUGGGCUAUAGCCACCAAACCACAGGGACUCCUGGCUCGGUGGAAGGUGACCAAGGUUCAAGGGAAGGGUGGAUGCCACAUGCUCAGUGGACGAAGAGAGGACACUGCCGACAAACUUGCCAGCCUUCCAGAAGGUGGGAAGGGUAGGCAGAGCUCCCCAGUACUGGGGGUGGAGCUGGGGGAACCAGGGACGUGCAGGAAGCAGAGGGAUGCUGAAGACUGGCUCAGACCCAGUACCAAGGGCCAGCACUGCGGGUUAAAUCAAGUUACAAAAGAAAGGCACAGAGAAGUGUCUCACCCCAUCCACAGCAUCUAGAAAAAUAAAGAAUUGUUGCAUUGCUGUACUUAUAAAAGUAGCCAAUAAGACAAAAGCAUGCACUUCAAAAAUAAGAAGUAUACACGAGAAGCAAAGAAGACAUUAUAGAAUGGAAGACUUUUUGAAAGUACUUUUAAACACUGAAAUAUAACGUAAAAUACUAUGGUAGCACUUGUUGUUAAUUGCCAGAUAAAAAUAGGAUCCAGUUACCUACUAAAAGGAAAAUGUCUUCAGACUGGAUCGCAAAGCAAAAUCCAACUCCAGAGUAUGCCUAGGAGGGAAGGCCGUAAAAAUGCCUCUGAGGAUUGAAAAUUAAAAGAUGGGCAGAAGACAGUUUGGCAAAUGCAAACAAGAGGAAAGGCUGGUCGUGAUUUAAAGGGGACCCAGGAGAACUCUUUAAUGUGACAUAAACUCAUUCUCCAUGCACCAAGGACCACCAGUGGAGUUCACAGAACAGGUCUAGGAAACCAGAGAGACACAGUCACAGCCCAGAGCAGGAAGGGAUUUUAAUUUGCCUCCAAGCACCGGACAAAUCCAUGGGACAAAACAAAUGAGGAUCCGUAGUCAUAGGCACAGUGACACAGAAAACCGGAAAAAGACGUUUGAUCGCACACAAGACACAGGGCUGACCUUCCUGACAUGAAAGCCCUCCUAGCAAUGAAGGUGUCUUAGUUAUUUUUUUUAUCAUUGAUGCUCAAAAUGGAGGAAGGAAAUCUUACAGUUCUUGUGGGUUUUAGUCCAUAUUGAGUUGGCUCCAAGGCAGCGUGGCGUUUCGGGGCAGCCAUCCCCAGCAGCCACAAACAGCAGAGCUAGCCAGCAAGAGAAAAAAGCCACACCUUCUUCCCCACCCUAACCCUUGCACUGUAUGCCGGCUCCACCCCUGGGCGGUGCAGCACUUACACCACCAAUCCCAGGACCUGACAACAAACCAAUCACGAAUGGUAGAUUGAGCCACGUCCCUGAUUGCGUGAGGCUUAAGAGGAAGCCAACACAAACCAUAACAGAAGGCAAAUGUAAAGCAUUGAAAAGAAAAAUCAGGUGGAGGAUACAGGUUCUUAACCUUUUUUUUUUUUUUUUUUUUUUUUUUUUUUUUUUUUUGAUACCAUGAAUCCAACUCAGGUCCUCACGCUUGCCAGGCAGGUGCUAUGCCACUGAGCCAUAUCCCUGGCCCUCUUAAACCUAUUUUAAAAUCUUAAAUUUAUAAAAAUUAUAAAACUUAAGCUAAUUUUAAAAAGAAGUUUAUUACAUAGCAAAGAAACAACCAACAGAGUAAAGGGACAACCUACAGAAUGGGGAAAAAUUACCAGUUACUGCUCAGACAGACUAGUAUCUAGAAUACAGAACUCAACAUAGAGCUCCAGAAUAAAGGACCAAUCAGAAAUGAGCAAUUGACAUGAAUAAACCCUUCUCAGAAGAGGCACAAAUGGUCAAUAAAUACAUGAAAAAAUGUUCCACACUACAAAAUGCAGACUAAAAUCCCACUGAGAUUCUAUCUUACUCCAGAAAGAAUGGCUGUCAUCAAGUAACCAAAUAAUACCAAAUGACCCAUGAAAGUACAAAAAAUUCCCUAUGCUUUUCAAUCCUUUUCUACUUUAAAAAUUUCAGGCUGCGCAUAGUGACCUAUGACUGUCAUCCCAGCACUUGGGAAACUGAGGCUUGAAGGUUGCCAUGAGUUCAAGGGCACACUAGGUCACAUAGUGAUCCAAGGCCAGCCUGAACUACAGAGCAGGACUGUGUCUAAACAAACAACAACAGCCAAAAAAGAAGAAUGAAGAUGUUUUGCAUAUGCGGACUGACUCCCUAUGGUAAAUGGGAUCAUUAGGUACUGCAAACAUGCUAAUUAAAAAACCAGCUUCAAAAAAGAAA
Molecule: long non-coding RNA, 2680 nt
Organism: Cavia porcellus (domestic guinea pig)
Lineage: Eukaryota; Metazoa; Chordata; Mammalia; Rodentia; Caviidae
Exons: 2
Source: RefSeq, a predicted model, not a curated record